UUUGAUUAUGGCUCAGAUUGAACGCUGGCGGGCAGGCCCUAACACAUGCAAGUCGAGCGGUAACACAGAGGAGCUUGCUCCUUGGGUGACGAGCGGCGGACGGGUGAGUAAUGCCUGGGGAUCUGCCCGAUAGAGGGGGAUAACUACGGGAAACUGUAGCUAAUACCGCAUAACGUCUACGGACCAAAGUGGGGGCUCUUCGGACCUCAUGCUAUCGGAUGAACCCAGGUGGGAUUAGCUAGUUGGUGAGGUAAUGGCUCACCAAGGCGACGAUCUCUAACUGGUUUGAGAGAAUGACCAGUCACACUGGAACUGAGACACGGUCCAGACUCCUACGGGAGGCAGCAGUGGGGAAUAUUGCACAAUGGGCGCAAGCCUGAUGCAGCCAUGCCGCGUGUGUGAAGAAGGCCUUCGGGUUGUAAAGCACUUUCAGCGGGGAGGAAGGGUCACUAGUUAAUACCUAGUGGCAUUGACGUUACUCGCAGAAGAAGCACCGGCUAACUCCGUGCCAGCAGCCGCGGUAAUACGGAGGGUGCAAGCGUUAAUCGGAAUUACUGGGCGUAAAGCGCACGCAGGCGGUUUGUUAAGUCAGAUGUGAAAUCCCCGAGCUCAACUUGGGAACUGCAUUUGAAACUGGCAAGCUAGAGUCUUGUAGAGGGGGGUAGAAUUCCAGGUGUAGCGGUGAAAUGCGUAGAGAUCUGGAGGAAUACCGGUGGCGAAGGCGGCCCCCUGGACAAAGACUGACGCUCAGGUGCGAAAGCGUGGGGAGCAAACAG
This 776-nucleotide ribosomal RNA is filed under the name Plesiomonas shigelloides. RNAcentral describes it as "bacterial SSU rRNA". It matches the Rfam family "Bacterial small subunit ribosomal RNA", at positions 12 to 775 of the family's 1533-position model. The record is from RNAcentral. Lineage: Bacteria; Pseudomonadati; Pseudomonadota; Gammaproteobacteria; Enterobacterales; Enterobacteriaceae.